CCUACGGGCGGCAGCAGUGGGGGAUAUUGCACAAUGGGGGGAACCCUGAUGCAGCGACGCCGCGUGGGUGAAGGAGCGUUUCGGCGCGUAAAGCCCUAUCGGCAGGGAAGAAGGAUGACGGUACCUGACUAAGCCGCCCCGGCUAACUACGUGCCAGCAGCCGCGGUCAUACGGAGGGGGCAAGCGUUACCCGGAUUUACUGGGUGGAAAGGGGGCGCAGACGGCAGCGCAAGCCAGGGGUGAAAGCCCGGGGCCCAACCCCGGGACUGCUCUUGGAACUGCGCGGCUGGAGUGCAGGAGGGGCAGGCGGAAUUCCUGGUGUAGCGGUGAAAUGCGUAGAUAUCAGGAGGAACACCGGUGGCGAAGGCGGCCUGCUGGACUGCGACUGACGUUGAGGCCCGAAAGCGUGGGGAGCAAACAGGAUUAGAUACCCGGGUAGUC
RNAcentral lists this ribosomal RNA (441 nucleotides) under uncultured bacterium. RNAcentral's name for it is "partial 16S ribosomal RNA". It matches the Rfam family "Bacterial small subunit ribosomal RNA", at positions 338 to 795 of the family's 1533-position model. The record is from RNAcentral.